RNAcentral lists this ribosomal RNA (400 nucleotides) under uncultured Clostridia bacterium. RNAcentral's name for it is "bacterial SSU rRNA". It matches the Rfam family "Bacterial small subunit ribosomal RNA", at positions 356 to 774 of the family's 1533-position model. Lineage: Bacteria; Bacillati; Bacillota; Clostridia. The record is from RNAcentral.
GGGGAAUAUUGCACAAUGGAGGGAACUCUGAUGCAGCGACGCCGCGUGAGUGAUGAAGGCUUUCGAGUCGUAAAACUCUGUCCUUGGGGACGAUAAUGACAGUACCUUAACAACAGCCCCGGCUAACUACGUGCCAGCAGCCGCGGUAACACGUAGGGGGCGAGCGUUGUCCGGAAUCACUGGGCGUAAAGGGCGUGUAGGUGGCUGAGAAAGUCAGGUGUGAAAAGCCUCGGCUCAACCGAGGACCAGCACAUGAAACUAAGCAGCUUGAGUGCAGGAGAGGGGAGCGGAAUUCCCGGUGUAGCGGUGAAAUGCGUAGAUAUCGGGAAGAACACCGGUGGCGAAGGCGGCUCUCUGGACUGUAACUGACACUGAGGCGCGAAAGCUGGGGUAGCGAACG